CCAGACUCCUACGGGAGGCAGCAGUGGGGAAUAUUGCACAAUGGGGGAAACCCUGAUGCAGCGACGCCGCGUGAAGGAUGAAGUAUUUCGGUAUGUAAACUUCUAUCAGCAGGGAAGAAAAUGACGGUACCUGACUAAGAAGCCCCGGCUAACUACGUGCCAGCAGCCGCGGUAAUACGUAGGGGGCAAGCGUUAUCCGGAUUUACUGGGUGUAAAGGGAGCGUAGACGGCAUGGCAAGUCUGAAGUGAAAGCCCGUGGCCCAACUGCGGGACUGCUUUGGAAACUGCCCGGCUAGAGUGCUGGAGAGGUAAGCGGAAUUCCUAGUGUAGCGGUGAAAUGCGUAGAUAUUAGGAGGAACACCAGUGGCGAAGGCGGCCUACUGGACGGUGACUGACGCUGAGGCUCGAAAGCGUGGGGAGCAAACAGGAUUAGAUACCCCCGUA
This 444-nucleotide ribosomal RNA is filed under the name uncultured bacterium. RNAcentral's name for it is "bacterial SSU rRNA". It matches the Rfam family "Bacterial small subunit ribosomal RNA", at positions 331 to 792 of the family's 1533-position model. The record is from RNAcentral.